RNAcentral lists this non-coding RNA (30 nucleotides) under Macaca fascicularis (crab-eating macaque). RNAcentral also lists the same sequence under 1 other name. Lineage: Eukaryota; Metazoa; Chordata; Mammalia; Primates; Cercopithecidae. The record is from RNAcentral.
UGGGAUUGACAAUUGCUACAGCUGUUUUGU